GACGAACGCUGGCGGCGUGCUUAACACAUGCAAGUCGAACGGAAAGGCCCUGCUUUUGUGGGGUGCUCGAGUGGCGAACGGGUGAGUAACACGUGAGUAACCUGCCCUUGACUUUGGGAUAACUUCAGGAAACUGGGGCUAAUACCGGAUAGGAGCUCCUGCUGCAUGGUGGGGGUUGGAAAGUUUCGGCGGUUGGGGAUGGACUCGCGGCUUAUCAGCUUGUUGGUGGGGUAGUGGCUUACCAAGGCUUUGACGGGUAGCCGGCCUGAGAGGGUGACCGGCCACAUGGGGACUGGGAUACGGCCCAGACCCCCACGGGGGGCAAGAGGGGGGAAUAUUGCACAAGGGGCGGAAGCCUGGUGCAGCAACGCCGGGUGGGGGAGGACGGCCUUCGGGUUGUAAACCGCUUUCGCCUGUGACGAAGGGUGGGUGCCGGUAAUGGGAAAAAAAGCACCGGCUAACUACGU
This 467-nucleotide ribosomal RNA is filed under the name uncultured bacterium. RNAcentral describes it as "partial 16S ribosomal RNA". It matches the Rfam family "Bacterial small subunit ribosomal RNA", at positions 28 to 506 of the family's 1533-position model. The record is from RNAcentral.